GUAACAAGGUUUCCGUAGGUGAACCUGCGGAAGGAUCAUUACCUAGAGUUGUAGGCUUUGCCUGCUAUCUCUUACCCAUGUCUUUUGAGUACCUUCGUUUCCUCGGCGGGUCCGCCCGCCGAUUGGACAUAUUCAAACCCUUUGCAGUUGCAAUCAGCGUCUGAACAAACUUAAUAGUUACAACUUUCAACAACGGAUCUCUUGGUUCUGGCAUCGAUGAAGAACGCAGCGAAAUGCGAUAAGUAGUGUGAAUUGCAGAAUUCAGUGAAUCAUCGAAUCUUUGAACGCACAUUGCGCCCCUUGGUAUUCCAUGGGGCAUGCCUGUUCGAGCGUCAUUUGUACCUUCAAGCUUUGCUUGGUGUUGGGUGUUUGUCUCGCCUCUGCGCGCAGACUCGCCUCAAAACAAUUGGCAGCCGGCGUAUUGAUUUCGGAGCGCAGUACAUCUCGCGCUUUGCACUCAUAACGACGACGAUCCAAAAGUACAUUUUUACACUCUUGACCUCGGAUCAGGUAGGGAUACCCGCUGAACUUAAGCAUAUCAAUAA
Molecule: unclassified non-coding RNA, 545 nt
Filed under: Epicoccum keratinophilum
Lineage: Eukaryota; Fungi; Ascomycota; Dothideomycetes; Pleosporales; Didymellaceae
Description: sequence contains ITS1, 5.8S rRNA gene, ITS2
Rfam family: 5.8S ribosomal RNA (bases 182-335)
Source: RNAcentral